Long non-coding RNA from Peromyscus eremicus (cactus mouse), 883 nucleotides. RefSeq lists it as uncharacterized. NCBI's taxonomy places the organism in Eukaryota, Metazoa, Chordata, Mammalia, Rodentia, Cricetidae. The record is from RefSeq and is a predicted model, not a curated record. The transcript is spliced from 2 exons.
CUGGUUCUCUCUAAGAUAGCUCUGGAGGGACGUGUGUCAUUAUGCCGAGUACAAGUGAUGGGUUGGAGAUGUGGAGAGGUGACAUGAUGGACCCAGGGCCUCUCAGCUGAAAGAUUGCCCUGCUGAACCUGAUGCUGGGACAUUAGCCCUGUCUAUCUUGUCCAGUGUGAAGUUUCUGGUUACAGCGGGUUACAUGGUGAUUUCCUCAAAUUCGCAGUCACCCGGAAACCUCAGAAGAUGACUUCCUUCCAAAAUUAUGACAAAAAAUCCACUUUAAAUGAAGUUACACUACACUGGAGUCGGCCCAAUGGCUGGUGUCCUUACAGGAAAGCCUUGUGGUGACACUUGUACAAGUCACAGACCUGCCAUGUGCACACCAAGACUGGAACAACACAGGUGUACAUCAAGGAAUGUCAAAGACAAGAAAAAAAACUACCAGGAGUAAAGAAGAGGCCAGUAAGGUUCUGUUGGCUCUGUGACGGUAGACUUCCAGCUUCUGGAACUUUGAAAGAAUGGGUUUCUGUGGUUACCACCAGCAAACAGAGUCCUGAACUGGGAGAGUAGACACGAGAAUUGGAGGAGGAUUUUAAGGGACAGAAUCAUCCUGAAUCGUCCUGAACUGUCCUGAUGAAGGCAGGCACUGAGAGUGUAAGCCCCUCAAGACACACUAGUGGACAGGUCCCUCCCCUGAGGACCUACAACCGUCAGGUUGCACCCACGGAACACUCUGCCCUAACGACUGGUCCCAGUCUCCCUCACCCCCUAGCCCUGACCCCUCCCUACAGAGUAAAAAGCCCAGGCUCUGGACUUGAAAUCCCACCAAUCCCCACCCUGGAAAGUGUCACCCUGAAAAUUGCCCCCUCAAGAAACUCUGCAUAAACCC